This 1056-nucleotide long non-coding RNA is filed under the name Cyanistes caeruleus (blue tit). RNAcentral's name for it is "lncRNA (ENSCCEG00000015948.1)". The record is from RNAcentral. Lineage: Eukaryota; Metazoa; Chordata; Aves; Passeriformes; Paridae.
AUGGACACUGCACUGGACAGACUGCACUGGACAGACUGCACUGGACGGACACUGCACUGGACACUGCAGUGGAUGGACACUGCAGUGGAUGGACACUGCAGUGGAUGGACACUGCACUGGACAGACUGCACUGGACAGACUGCACUGGACAGACUGCACUGGAUGGACACUGCACUGGAUGGACACUGCACUGGACAGACUGCACUGGACACUGCACUGGAUGGACACUGCACUGGACGGACACUGCACUGGACACUGCACUGGACAGACUGCACUGGAUGGACACUGCACUGGACGGACACUGCACUGGACAGACACUGCACUGGACGGACACUGCACUGGACACUGCACUGGAUGGACACUGCACUGGAUGGACACUGCACUGGAUGGACACUGCACUGGACGGACACUGCACUGGACACUGCACUGGACAGACACUGCACUGGACGGACACUGCACUGGAUGGACACUGCACUGGACGGACACUGCACUGGACACUGCACUGGAUGGACACUGCACUGGAUGGACACUGCACUGGAUGGACACUGCACUGGACAGACUGCACUGGACAGACUGCACUGGACAGACACUGCACUGGACAGACUGCACUGGACAGACACUGCACUGGAUGGACACUGCACUGGAUGGACACUGCACUGGAGCUUUGUGGCUGAGGGCAGCAGGAGUUUUGUCCCAGAAGGAAUUCCUCUGCUCCCUCAGUGUCAGCCUCCACAGAGAACCACUGAGGAUGGAAAAGAUCAUCAAAUCCACCCCCUGACAACUCCCAGGGACAGUGCAGAGGGCAAAGCCAGCGCUGGAGGAAUCAGCCCGGGCACUUCCACAGUAAACAAAAGGAGCAACGAAUACACUGCAUACAGAUUUUACCUGUUCUACAAAUAUUUGUACACUGUAAAGCCUGACAGGUCAUGGGAGCUCGUCCCUCCUCACCCCACCACUAGGAAAAUAUUCCUCCAGGCCUCCUUUAGGCUGGAAACAAUUCCAUCUGAGUUAGCUGCAAAAGAAAAGAACAUAGCACAAAAGACACGUUUCAGCUGA